This is a long non-coding RNA of Amblyraja radiata (thorny skate), 1422 nucleotides long. RefSeq lists it as uncharacterized. The transcript has 10 exons. The record is from RefSeq and is a predicted model, not a curated record. NCBI's taxonomy places the organism in Eukaryota, Metazoa, Chordata, Chondrichthyes, Rajiformes, Rajidae.
GGGAGAGAGGGCCGUGGGUGCCCUGGCGUGAGCAGAGGCUCCGAUUAGGGCCUUGGUGACAGCCUCCUGCACACGAUCAGUGGGCUGGCCCUGGCGGUAUUCAUCAUCCAAAUAUUCCAGACUGUUUUGCUCGCGGAGACCGCUUGCCGAACUCUUCCCGACUGGGCAACGAUUUUCCAGUUUCGCUAUCUCUGUAGCUUCUUCAGGGAAAGAGAUCUAAUUCUCAUCGGUUAGGGUUUUUAAGGGGGCCUUGGUGACAGCCUCCUGCACACGAUCAGUGGGCUGGCCCUGGCGGUAUUCAUCAUCCAAAUAUUCCAGACUGUUUUGCUCGCGGAGACCGCUUGCCGAACUCUUCCCGACUGGGCAACGAUUUUCCAGUUUCGCUAUCUCUGUAGCUUCUUCAGGGAAAGAGAUCUAAUUCUCAUCGGUUAGGGUUUUUAAGGGGCCUUGGCGACCGCCUCCUGUACACGAUCCAUAGGUGGGCCCUCGCGGUAUUCAUCAUCCAGAUAUUCUAGACUAUUUUGCUUGUGGAGACCGCAUGCUGGAGUCUUCUCGACUGGGCAACGACCUGCCAGUUUCGCUAUUGCUUUAGCUUCAUCAGGAAAAGAGAUCUGUUUCUAUCUAGCCGGUAAUGGGUUAUAAAGGAUUAAGGCCUUGGCGACCGCCUCCUGUACACGAUCCAUAGGUGGGCCCUCGCGGUAUUCAUCAUCCAGAUAUUCUAGACUAUUUUGCUUGUGGAGACCGCAUGCUGGAGUCUUCUCGACUGGGCAACGACCUGCCAGUUUCGCUAUUGCUUUAGCUUCAUCAGGAAAAGAGAUCUGUUUCUAUCUAGCCGGUAAUGGGUUAUAAAGGAUUAAGGCCUUGGCGACCGCCUCCUGUACACGAUCCAUAGGUGGGCCCUCGCGGUAUUCAUCAUCCAGAUAUUCUAGACUAUUUUGGUAAUGCUCAAUCAAAAUUUGUCGUGUUUGUUUUGCCCAGGUUUCAGCAUUAGAGGCCAAUUUUUGUAAUGUUUCCUGGGUAGGAUUUGCCGGUUUUAUAAAGUGUGUUAAUAUCCUUGCCUGCCUCGUGAUACCCUUGGGAGGUUGGCCAUUCUCUUGCACUACCCUCAGAUGGUGCAGUGUUUUGGCCAUUUUAUAAAUAACUCUAACUACGACUGCAAAGGAAUCCCUCGGUUCAUACCUGUGCUGGUCGCGAUUCCCAUUGUUAUUGUAGUUAUACCCUCUCCUUCCCCUCCCUCCCCUCUGCAUGUCAUUGUUCAUAUCUAGCUCAGUCAGUACAAUGUCUUACUUCUGUAUUUAAACUAUAAACAUCAAUUAUUUCUGUACAGAACUAUGAACAUCAAUUAUAUCUCAACAUCCAUUAUCUCGUUCAGUACCAUGCAAUGCUACUGAUUUAAACAAUAAACAUAAAUUAUCACUAGCG